Molecule: ribosomal RNA, 440 nt
Filed under: uncultured bacterium
Lineage: Bacteria
Description: partial 16S ribosomal RNA
Rfam family: Bacterial small subunit ribosomal RNA
Source: RNAcentral
CCUACGGGAGGCAGCAGUAGGGAAUAUUGCUCAAUGGGGGAAACCCUGAAGCAGCAACGCCGCGUGGAGGAUGAAGGUCUUAGGAUUGUAAACUCCUUUUGUGAGAGAAGAUAAUGACGGUAUCUCACGAAUAAGCACCGUCUAACUUCGUGCCAGCAGCCGUGGUAAUACGGAGGGUGCAAGCGUUACUCGGAAUAACUGGGCGUAAAGAGUGUGCAGGCGGGCUUGUAAGUCAGAUGUGAAAUCCUGUAGCUUAACUACAGAACUGCAUUUGAAACUAUGAGUCUAGAGUGUGGGUGAGGUAGGUGGAAUUCUUGGUGUAGGGGUAAAAUGCGUAGAUAUCAAGAAGAAUACUGAUUGCGAAGGCGACCUACUGAAACAUUACUGACGCUCAUGCACGAAAGCGUGGGGAGCAAACAGGAUUAGAUACCCCUGUAGUC